This 67-nucleotide transfer RNA is filed under the name Craspedophorus nobilis. Its description in RNAcentral is "tRNA-Ala". Lineage: Eukaryota; Metazoa; Arthropoda; Insecta; Coleoptera; Carabidae. The record is from RNAcentral.
AGGAUAAUAGUCUAUAAAUAAAUAUUUGAUUUGCAUUCAAAAGAUGUUGAAUUUUCAACUUAUCUUA